Molecule: ribosomal RNA, 292 nt
Filed under: uncultured bacterium
Lineage: Bacteria
Description: partial 16S ribosomal RNA
Rfam family: Bacterial small subunit ribosomal RNA
Source: RNAcentral
GUGUCAGCAGCCGCGGUAAGACGGAGGGGGCAAGCGUUGUCCGGAAUCACUGGGCGUAAAGCGCACGUAGGCGGCCUGGUGCGUCGGUGCUGAAAGCGCCCCGCUUAACGGGGCGAGGCGUGCCGAUACGACCGGGCUCGAGGCAGGCAGAGGGUGGCGGAAUUCCGGGUGUAGUGGUGAAAUGCGUAGAGAUCCGGAGGAACGCCUGUGGCGCAAGCGGCCACCUGGGCCUGACCUGACGCUGAGGUGCGAAAGCGUGGGGAGCGAACCGGAUUAGAUACCCCCGUAGUCC